Molecule: long non-coding RNA, 1271 nt
Filed under: Musa acuminata (dwarf banana)
Lineage: Eukaryota; Viridiplantae; Streptophyta; Magnoliopsida; Zingiberales; Musaceae
Description: long non-coding RNA (MACU_LNC007783)
Source: RNAcentral
GCUACUCAGUUACAGAAUUGACCUCAGCAGUAACAGGAUGGAACCACUCCUUAGUACGAACAACAAGACUUCAACUCAGAGGUGAGCUAGCGAUCAACAAGAAUACAACCACUGUUAAUAAGAAUGCAACAGUAGCCGAAGGGGCUGGUCUUCCACUCAGGAGUCAAAGAAGUGGAGUGGUCAGCAGCUGGGCUUGUUUCAAGAAGUCUUAGUGGAUGUCGGCCAGGUAAGAAAGAGAAUGCCCUGUUCGAGUGAUUGUUUCAUCCCGAUAUAUUCUAUUCUAAUUAUAGGUAGGUUCUUCUGUUAGGUUCUUAUCUAUAUUCUAUUCUAAUUACAGGAAUUUAGACCCGUAGGAUUACUUGGGCACUGUUCGCCCUAUCAAAGUCCCUAUAACAGAUGAAUAGCACCAUUACUUCUACUACUUUCUGAAUGGCACCAUUACUUCUACUUUCAACCCUUCUCUUUCUUAUUCUUAUUAUUCCGCUAUAAUAGCGUGUGCUUACCGGGCCAAGAGACCUAGAAGAAGCCUCCUCCCCUCAAUAGCGGAGAUGCAACAUCAAUAGCGGAGAUGCAACAUAAGUAACUGUAGAGGCCCUUUUUCGUACGUUUCGGUCAGCUGUUAGAGCAGAUACAUCAGUAGCAGUACCCUAAGCCAGAAAGAAUCAUUUCAUUUGAAGACUCCGGAGACGAACAGAGGUAUCGGAGAGUUCUAUUAGCCGAAUGAAAGUAGCCAGCUGCAGGGCUUGUUUGAUUCUCUAAGUGUUCUACCAGAUUCGGGUAAAAAGUAAUAGCCUAUUCUUUAGGCAAGGGAGAAUCAUAAUCAUGAGCUAGGUAUUCUAGUUCUAUUACAAGAUUCUGGUUUCAAGUAAUAGGUAAGAUAUAUUCCUUAAUGACUAUAAUAUAAGAGAAAGGAAGGAGUAAUAGAAGAUAUAGGAAUGAGUAAAGAAGGAGUAAUGGGAGAGAUAAUAUAAGAGAAAGGAAGGAGUAAUGGGAGAGAAACGAAUGAGUAAAGAAGGAGUUACCGAGGGAUUGUUUUCAUGAUAGAGAAGAAAGAGAGUAGAAAACCUCAGCCUCUAUUGAGUAAUUCAGAGAAAGGGAUGCUCCGGAAAGUCUCUCGGAACAGGCGCAAUAACUAUUAGAAGUGGGGCAGAUGUUCUAAGUGAAAGAGUGGGGAGCGCAGGGAAUAGGUAAUUUAGCUACAGCAUAAUUUAGUUAGGGAGUUAGGAGCGCAGGGAAUAGGUGUAGCCUAUAAUUGCUCUUCAUUAUAUAUA